RNAcentral lists this small nuclear RNA (39 nucleotides) under Cervus elaphus hippelaphus. Lineage: Eukaryota; Metazoa; Chordata; Mammalia; Artiodactyla; Cervidae. The record is from RNAcentral.
AUCACUGCUCGGCCUUUUGGCUAAGAUCAAGCGUAAUAU